Molecule: long non-coding RNA, 2087 nt
Organism: Danio aesculapii
Lineage: Eukaryota; Metazoa; Chordata; Actinopteri; Cypriniformes; Danionidae
Exons: 4
Source: RefSeq, a predicted model, not a curated record
CCACAUGGAGAAAAAAGGGAAUCACACACCUCAGCAAUGACUGAAAAUUGAUGGUCAGGAAUUUUUUUUUUUAAAAUCCUUCCAGGAUGAAGCGGGUGGUGAUUGAUAUAGAUAGUUAGAUAAGCCUUGUCUUUGUCAGGUUUUUCUUUUUCAGGUAAUGGAGAGAGAGCAGCCAGAAGAGGGAGACUCACAAGAGUAUCGAUGGACAUUUAUCUGAAACAGGGAGGGCUCUGUUGGUGCUGGCCUUUGUCUUUUGCAGGUUGGAGUAGAGCAGAAGAAGGAGACUCACAAGGGGAACAGUGUAUAUAUACUUAAAGACCUGGAGCUCAGCAAACAGAUUGGCAUGGAGCAUGUGGAGAAACAGGGAAACACACCUCAGUAAUGACAAACUGGAGUGCAGCAUGUGGAGAAAAAUAGGAAUCACACACCUCUGCAAUGACUGGAAAUGGAUGAUCAGGAAUGUCCUUCAAAAGCAGAAGGAUGGGUGCAUAGAUGGAUGUCCUUUCAAGAGGAAGGGGGUGGAGGCAGCUGAAUCGGAAGUUCUAAAACAAUCGCAAAAACGCACGCACUUCCGCAUUGAAGAAUAAGGCCAAUACACUGGACUACAAACCAACAGGAACUGAGAAAGCUGCUACAACAAGUUUGAGAAAAUACUGAAGUUCAAGUUUUGCAUGAACAUUGAGGCUGUCCUUGAGGCAAAGGCUGGCCCAGCAAAUUAUUGAUAGUUAUCAUGACGAUUUUGUUCCGUUUAACUGUGAAGUACUGAGAAAUUGCCAUAAUUUUAUUACCAUUUUUCUAAACUACAGCAAAUAAACUGAUGACGUUAAAGACAUGGAAGGUUGUUACAGUCCCUGUCUUGUCCUAGUGUUUGUUUUGCCCUUGUGUUUUUUCAUUCCAGCCACUCCCCGUCAGUUUAGCUUUCCCCACUUUCCUUAGUUACAAUUUGCCUUGGAUGUUUAUUGUCUGUACCAUGUUGCUAUCCAAUUUACUCACUAUGCCUUUGUCUGAUUCACUGUUAUAUAUGCUUAUUAUAUAUUUUAGCUUGCUUUUUCUUGUUUCCUUUGGUUUUGAAGCACUCAAAAAUUGACGUUUGCUGUUUGUAAAACUACUUCAAUUCAAUUCAAUUCAAUUCACCUUUAUUUGUAUAGCGCUACCUGUAUAAAAUGAGCUAAAACAACACAAUACUUGAGGUUGUUUUUGGGACUACCUAUUUGUUUUAUGUUCAAUCCACUUACAUUCAUAAAAGCUUAAAAAAGUUACCUUAAUUCCUGAAUUAAAGCAAUUGUGUGGAACCCAGCAUUUUUUACAGUGAGGGUUUAAAGAAACUAAUUGUUUGGCUGCAUUCGGACAUUGCUCGCUACAUCCAUCAACCUGCUACACGCCAGAUGUACAAUAUAUUAAUACAUUUCUAAACACAACAGUUUUUUCAAAACGUUGAUUAUUAAUAUAUUUUAGGGGCAGAGGGCCCUGAGUAGGGGCAGAGUUUUAUUGUCAGCUCCUCCUCUCAUUUUUUACUCGCAGCAAACUCAUGGCUGGAGGGGCGUGGCCAUGCAUGUUUCACCAAUUCAUCGAACAGACAUCAUCAGAGAAGGACUGCCAUUACAGAGAGGAAGCAAGUAGUUAAGAUUUUGAUUAAAAAUGACUUCUUUAUUUGUGCUCUGGGACUAAGUUCAUUAGCAUUUGGUGUCAUUUUAUAAAUUAUCUUCAAUACCAUUUAUAAAUGCAUAGGGACAACUUGAUACAACUAUGUUUUCUCUGGAAUUUGAGGGAAUAGUGUCCCUUUCGUUUAUUUCUCUUUUUAUUUAUGUCAUGUUAUAGUAAAUAUGCUAUAAUGUCAUCAUGUAAAUAAAAUAUUUAUUUCAUUCACUCAUUUUCCUUCGGCUUAGUCCCUUAUUUAUUAGAGGUCGCCAUAGCAGAAUGAACCGCCUACUAUUCUGGCAUAUGUUUUACACAGCGCAUGCCCUUCCAACUGCAACCCAGUACUGGGAAACAUCCAUACGCACUCAUUCACACACACAUACACUAUGGCCAAUUUAGUUUAUUCAGUUCACCUAUAGCGCAUGUCUUUGGACUGUGAGGAAACCAGA